GUCGAGAAUCUUCCGCAAUGCGCGAAAGCGUGACGGAGCGACACCGCGUGAUGGAUGAAGUCCUUCGGGGCGUAAACAUCUUUUAUAAAGGAGGAAAUUUUUGACGUUACUUUAUGAAUAAGGGGCUCCCAAUCUCGUGCCAGCAGGAGCGGUAAUACGAGAGCCUCAAGCGUUAUCCGGAAUCAUUGGGCGUAAAGGGUGCGUAGGUGGUUUGAUUAGUCUCCCGUUAAAACUUCGAGCUUAACUCGAAAAGAGCGGGGGAAACGGUCAAACUAGAGUAUGUGAGAGGUGUGUGGAACUCAUGGUGUAGGGGUGAAAUCCGUUGAUAUCAUGGGGAACACCAAAAGCGAAGGCAGCACACUGGCACAUCACUGACACUGAGGCACGAAACCUAAGGUAGCGAAUGGGAUUAGAAACCAUAGUAGUCC
This 428-nucleotide ribosomal RNA is filed under the name uncultured bacterium. RNAcentral describes it as "bacterial SSU rRNA". It matches the Rfam family "Bacterial small subunit ribosomal RNA", at positions 354 to 796 of the family's 1533-position model. The record is from RNAcentral.